UGGGGAAUAUUGCACAAUGGGCGAAAGCCUGAUGCAGCAACGCCGCGUGAGUGAAGAAGGCCUUCGGGUCGUAAAACUCUGUCCUCAAGGAAGAUAAUGACGGUACUUGAGGAGGAAGCCCCGGCUAACUACGUGCCAGCAGCCGCGGUAAUACGUAGGGGGCAAGCGUUAUCCGGAAUUACUGGGCGUAAAGGGUGCGUAGGCGGUUUAACAAGUCAGGAGUGAAAGGCUAUGGCUCAACCAUAGUAAGCUUUUGAAACUGUUAAACUUGAGUACAGGAGAGGAGAGUGGAAUUCCUAGUGUAGCGGUGAAAUGCGUAGAUAUUAGGAGGAACACCAGUUGCGAAGGCGGCUCUCUGGACUGAAACUGACGCUGAGGCACGAAAGCGUGGGGAGCAAAC
Molecule: ribosomal RNA, 400 nt
Filed under: uncultured Romboutsia sp.
Lineage: Bacteria; Bacillati; Bacillota; Clostridia; Peptostreptococcales; Peptostreptococcaceae
Description: bacterial SSU rRNA
Rfam family: Bacterial small subunit ribosomal RNA
Source: RNAcentral